This 485-nucleotide ribosomal RNA is filed under the name uncultured bacterium. RNAcentral describes it as "partial 16S ribosomal RNA". It matches the Rfam family "Bacterial small subunit ribosomal RNA", at positions 30 to 508 of the family's 1533-position model. The record is from RNAcentral.
AUUGAACGCUGGCGGCAGGCCUAACACAUGCAAGUCGAGCGGAUGAAGGGAGCUUGCUUCUGGAUUCAGCGGCGGACGGGUGAGUAAUGCCUAGGAAUCUGCCUGGUAGUGGGGGAUAACGUCCGGAAACGGGCGCUAAUACCGCAUACGUCCUGAGGGAGAAAGUGGGGGAUCUUCGGACCUCACGCUAUCAGAUGAGCCUAGGUCGGAUUAGCUAGUUGGUGGGGUAAAGGCCUACCAAGGCGACGAUCCGUAACUGGUCUGAGAGGAUGAUCAGUCACACUGGAACUGAGACACGGUCCAGACUCCUACGGGAGGCAGCAGUGGGGAAUAUUGGACAAUGGGCGAAAGCCUGAUCCAGCCAUGCCGCGUGUGUGAAGAAGGUCUUCGGAUUGUAAAGCACUUUAAGUUGGGAGGAAGGGCAGUAAGUUAAUACCUUGCUGUUUUGACGUUACCAACAGAAUAAGCGCCGGCUAACUUCGUGC